Molecule: non-coding RNA, 1308 nt
Organism: Phoenix dactylifera (date palm)
Lineage: Eukaryota; Viridiplantae; Streptophyta; Magnoliopsida; Arecales; Arecaceae
Source: RefSeq, a predicted model, not a curated record
CCGCCAUAUAGAAAAAGAGCACUCGCUCCCUAAUAUCAAAUUCUCACGAGAAGGUUGUCAAGUUUUACUUUGCUGAACCAUCAUCCUGUUGGACCCCAGGUGUGGGGAUGUCUGAAAACUACUAGGCAACCUACAGGUCACCAAAUUCCGAGAGACAUGGUUGUUUAACUACCAGUCCCUUGUUCUUGGUUCAUCUAGUUUUGAGCAGCACGAAAUGCCAAGCAGAUGCACAGAUAACAAAAAGAACAAAUGUAGGGGGAGGAGGCAAGGGUGUUAAUGCAGGAGAACAAAUAUUUAAAGUCUCGAGAAUGGAUAAUACCAAAUUAAACCAUUUCUCAUCAUCUUCAAUGGUGGUCCGACAUAUCUGCCUACAGCAUUAUCUUGGUAAUACACGAAUUUCGAAGCUACAACAACAAAAAAAACUAAAGACAAUUUGUUAGAACUAUAACUUUACUCUCAGCACUACUGACCCAAACAUAUGACUUACCAAAACCAAUAUACCUUGCAACAAAAAAAAAAAAAGAUUUUAAAACUAACCCCAAAGCUUUGAUCAAGAAUAACAAUAUAACAGUUGCAGAUCUUGAAAUGACCUUACCAUAAUGCCUAAUGGGUAUCAAGAUACCAUUUUCUAGACUAUGUGGGAUUUUGACCAUUGAAUCUAAAAGUCUUUCUCGUCCUCCGUAUGUCAUAUUCUGCACCUAGAAAUAAAUUUAUCUUUAAUUCAUCAGGGACCUAUCCUGCAAUUCCAAUAAUCCUGGUUAUGUUUCAGGGACUCAUUCAUUUAUGGAUAAAGUAUUCUUGGGAAUCUCCUGAAAAAGGGAAAAGUCCUUGAAAUUUUUUUGGCUAUGAUAUUAUCUCAGUGGUGCAUGAAUAUCUCUGUGAUUCACGUUUGGAAGAGUAGAAAUUGGCCCAGAAAUUAUGGUUUAACCCAUAUUAAACAACUAUAGCCAUCCUAGACCAUCAAAUAUCCAUCAGUCUUCAUAUUAAACUGCAGCAAAAGAAAAUAGUUCUGCCAAAUAGCCUGGUCAGGGUUAAUCAACGAUGCUAGUUGAGAUGGAAAGAAUCUAGGCUACAUCUUCAAGGAAGGUUUUUCUACCACCUUCAUUGGAAGCUCUCAACAUAAUUCCAGCAAGAACUUUCAAGUUCAAUCAAAAGGUAACUUUCUUCUACAAGAACUUGCAGUUUUGUUUUGCUUAAAGCAUGUUCAUAAUCUACUACAUCGAGCUUAAAAAUUACUUUUAGCAUAACACCAAAUUCCAGCAAACAGAAUCUAGACAAUAGCUUUCACGAAGGCACAAAAAAAAAAAA